Molecule: ribosomal RNA, 503 nt
Filed under: uncultured bacterium
Lineage: Bacteria
Description: bacterial SSU rRNA
Rfam family: Bacterial small subunit ribosomal RNA
Source: RNAcentral
UCAGGAUGAACGCUAGCUACAGGCUUAACACAUGCAAGUCGAGGGCAGCAUGAUCUAGCUUGCUAAGAUGAUGGCGACCGGCGCACGGGUGCGUAACGCGUAUCCAACCUGCCGUGUACUCUGGGAUAGCCCUCUGAAAGGAGGAUUAAUACCCGAUGUGGUUGCGGAGAGACAUCUCUCUGUAAUUAAAGAUUUAUCGGUACACCGAUGGGGAUGCGUACGAUUAGCUAGUUGGCGGGGUAACGGCCCACCAAGGCGACGAUCGUUAGGGGUUCUGAGAGGAAGGUCCCCCACAUAGGAACUGAGACACGGUCCUAACUCCUACGGGAGGCAGCAGUGAGGAAUAUUGGUCAAUGGGCGAGAGCCUGAACCAGCCAAGUAGCGUGAAGGAAGACAGCCCUAUGGGUUGUAAACUUCUUUUAUCGGGGAAUAAAGUGCGCCACGUGUGGCGUUUUGUAUGUACCCGAUGAAUAAGCAUCGGCUAAUUCCGUGCCAGCCGCGGC